AAUAUUGCACAAUGGGCGCAAGCCUGAUGCAGCCAUGCCGCGUGUGUGAAGAAGGCCUUCGGGUUGUAAAGCACUUUCAGUCAGGAGGAAAGGUUAACGGUUAAUACCCGUUAGCUGUGACGUUACUGACAGAAGAAGCACCGGCUAACUCCGUGCCAGCAGCCGCGGUAAUACGGAGGGUGCGAGCGUUAAUCGGAAUUACUGGGCGUAAAGCGUACGCAGGCGGUUUGUUAAGCGAGAUGUGAAAGCCCCGGGCUCAACCUGGGAACUGCAUUUCGAACUGGCAAACUAGAGUGUGAUAGAGGGUGGUAGAAUUUCAGGUGUAGCGGUGAAAUGCGUAGAGAUCUGAAGGAAUACCGAUGGCGAAGGCAGCCACCUGGGUCAACACUGACGCUCAUGUACGAAAGCGUGGGGAGCAAACGGGAUUAGAUACCCCGGUAGUCCACGCCGUAAACGAUGUCUACUAGAAGCUCGGAGCCUCGGUUCUGUUUUUCAAAGCUAACGCAUUAAGUAGACCGCCUGGGGAGUACGGCCGCAAGGUUAAAACUCAAAUGAAUUGACGGGGGCCCGCACAAGCGGUGGAGCAUGUGGUUUAAUUCGAUGCAACGCGAAGAACACUUACCUACACUUGACAUACAGAGAACUUACCAGAGAUGGUUUGGUGCCUUCGGGAACUCUGAUACAGGUGCUGCAUGGCUGUCGUCAGCUCGUGUUGUGAGAUGUUGGGUUAAGUCCCGCAACGAGCGCAACCCCUAUCCUUAGUUGCUAGC
Molecule: ribosomal RNA, 770 nt
Filed under: Pseudoalteromonas sp. Prot4
Lineage: Bacteria; Pseudomonadati; Pseudomonadota; Gammaproteobacteria; Alteromonadales; Pseudoalteromonadaceae
Description: bacterial SSU rRNA
Rfam family: Bacterial small subunit ribosomal RNA
Source: RNAcentral